This is a microRNA precursor of Oryza sativa Indica Group (long-grained rice), 207 nucleotides long. It matches the Rfam family "MIR812 microRNA precursor family". NCBI's taxonomy places the organism in Eukaryota, Viridiplantae, Streptophyta, Magnoliopsida, Poales, Poaceae. The record is from Rfam.
AAUAAGUACAGUUUUACACUGUUCAUGUUUAACUUUUGACCGUUCGUCUUAUUUAAAAUUUUUUUAGAUUAGUAUUUUUGUUUUUAUUAGAUGAUAAAACAUGAACAGUACUUUAUGUGUGACUAAUUUUUUUCAAAUUUUUCAUAAAUUUUUUAAAUAAGACGAACGGUCGAACGUCUGACACGGUUCUCCACGACUGCACUUAUU